CCGGCACGGGUGAGUAACACGUAUCCAACCUGCCGUCUACUCUUGGACAGCCUUCUGAAAGGAAGAUUAAUACAAGAUGGCAUCAUGAGUCCGCAUGUUCACAUGGUUAAAGGUAUUCCGGUAGACGAUGGGGAUGCGUUCCAUUAGAUAGUAGGCGGGGUAACGGCCCACCUAGUCUUCGAUGGAUAGGGGUUCUGAGAGGAAGGUCCCCCACAUUGGAACUGAGACACGGUCCAA
RNAcentral lists this ribosomal RNA (237 nucleotides) under uncultured bacterium. Its description in RNAcentral is "partial 16S ribosomal RNA". It matches the Rfam family "Bacterial small subunit ribosomal RNA", at positions 100 to 334 of the family's 1533-position model. The record is from RNAcentral.